Molecule: ribosomal RNA, 732 nt
Filed under: Vibrio sp. AD101
Lineage: Bacteria; Pseudomonadati; Pseudomonadota; Gammaproteobacteria; Vibrionales; Vibrionaceae
Description: bacterial SSU rRNA
Rfam family: Bacterial small subunit ribosomal RNA
Source: RNAcentral
UGCAGUCGAGCGGAACGACUUAACUGAACCUUCGGGGAACGUUAAGGGCGUCGAGCGGCGGACGGGUGAGUAAUGCCUAGGAAAUUGCCCUGAUGUGGGGGAUAACCAUUGGAAACGAUGGCUAAUACCGCAUGAUGCCUACGGGCCAAAGAGGGGGACCUUCGGGCCUCUCGCGUCAGGAUAUGCCUAGGUGGGAUUAGCUAGUUGGUGAGGUAAUGGCUCACCAAGGCGACGAUCCCUAGCUGGUCUGAGAGGAUGAUCAGCCACACUGGAACUGAGACACGGUCCAGACUCCUACGGGAGGCAGCAGUGGGGAAUAUUGCACAAUGGGCGCAAGCCUGAUGCAGCCAUGCCGCGUGUGUGAAGAAGGCCUUCGGGUUGUAAAGCACUUUCAGUCGUGAGGAAGGUGGUGGAGUUAAUAGCUCUAUUAUUUGACGUUAGCGACAGAAGAAGCACCGGCUAACUCCGUGCCAGCAGCCGCGGUAAUACGGAGGGUGCGAGCGUUAAUCGGAAUUACUGGGCGUAAAGCGCAUGCAGGUGGUUUGUUAAGUCAGAUGUGAAAGCCCGGGGCUCAACCUCGGAAUAGCAUUUGAAACUGGCAGACUAGAGUACUGUAGAGGGGGGUAGAAUUUCAGGUGUAGCGGUGAAAUGCGUAGAGAUCUGAAGGAAUACCGGUGGCGAAUGCGGCCCCCUGGACAGAUACUGACACUCACAUGCGAAAGCGUGGGGAGC